GGGCGUUCAGGCAAGUAACAGACCUUCGGGUACUGAGGAAAGUCCUGCCACCAUGGGUUCAACUCCCAUAACAGCCGUUAUGGUUGUGGCCGCCAACGCAAGUUGGGCAUCCGAAAGGGUGCGGCUCUGUCGGAAUAGACACGAGACCCCCGCGCGUAUGGAAUGAUAGAUGCGGAGAGAACUGGAGACAGUUGUCGCGUUAACCUCUUGACGUCACGCGUGGAAUGGAUGGAACGAGCAUCCCGGCCGGUGCAAGUCAAACGACGCUUAGUCGAAUGUUGCCCGCACGAUCACUGGAAACAGUGCGUGUGCACAAAAGCAGGCUUACGAACGUCC
This 336-nucleotide RNase P RNA is filed under the name Candidatus Woesearchaeota archaeon. RNAcentral describes it as "RNase P RNA component". It matches the Rfam family "Archaeal RNase P". Rfam says of the family: Ribonuclease P (RNase P) is a ubiquitous endoribonuclease, found in archaea, bacteria and eukarya as well as chloroplasts and mitochondria. Its best characterised activity is the generation of mature 5'-ends of tRNAs by cleaving the 5'-leader elements of precursor-tRNAs. Cellular RNase Ps are ribonucleoproteins. The record is from RNAcentral. Lineage: Archaea; Nanobdellati; Candidatus Woesearchaeota.